Molecule: ribosomal RNA, 700 nt
Filed under: uncultured bacterium
Lineage: Bacteria
Description: bacterial SSU rRNA
Rfam family: Bacterial small subunit ribosomal RNA
Source: RNAcentral
GGAAGGGCGGCGGUGCUACCAUGCAAGUCGAACGGGCUCGGAUUGAACCUAGUGAUUUCCGAGUUAGUGGCGGACGGGUGAGUAACGCGUGGAUAACCUGCCGUAUGCAGGGGGAUAACAGUUGGAAACAGCUGCUAAUACCGCAUAAGCGCACAGUACCGCAUGGUACGGUGUGAAAAGAUUUAUCGGCAUACGAUGGAUCCGCGUCCGAUUAGCCAGUUGGCGGGGUAACGGCCCACCAAAGCGACGAUCGGUAGCCGGCCUGAGAGGGCGGACGGCCACAUUGGGACUGAGACACGGCCCAAACUCCUACGGGAGGCAGCAGUGGGGAAUAUUGCACAAUGGGGGGAACCCUGAUACAGCGACGCCGCGUGAGUGAAGAAGUAUCUCGGUACGUAAAGCUCUAUCAGCAGGGAAGAAAAUGACGGUACCUGACUAAGAAGCCCCGGCUAACUACGUGCCAGCAGCCGCGGUAAUACGUAGGGGGCAAGCGUUAUCCGGAUUUACUGGGUGUAAAGGGAGCGUAGACGGCACUGCAAGUCCGGAGUGAAAGCCCAAGGCUUAACCAUGGGACUGCUCUGGAAACUGUGGAGCUUGAGUGCGGGAGGGGCAGGCGGAAUUCCUAGUGUAGCGGUGAAAUGCGUAGAUAUUAGGAGGAACACCGGCGGCGAAGGCGGCCUGCUGGACCGUAACUGACGUU